This 252-nucleotide ribosomal RNA is filed under the name uncultured bacterium. Its description in RNAcentral is "partial 16S ribosomal RNA". It matches the Rfam family "Bacterial small subunit ribosomal RNA", at positions 524 to 776 of the family's 1533-position model. The record is from RNAcentral.
UACGUAGGUGGCAAGCGUUGUCCGGAUUUACUGGGCGUAAGAGCGCGCAGGCGGUCGUUCCAGUCGCGUGUGAAAGCCCCCGGCUCAACUGGGGAGGGUCACGCGAUACUGAUCGACUCGAAGGCAGGAGAGGGAAGUGGAAUUCCCGGUGUAGUGGUGAAAUGCGUAGAUAUCGGGAGGAACACCAGUGGCGAAGGCGACUUCCUGGCCUGUUCUUGACGCUGAGGCGCGAAAGCUAGGGGAGCAAACGGG